Molecule: ribosomal RNA, 253 nt
Filed under: uncultured bacterium
Lineage: Bacteria
Description: partial 16S ribosomal RNA
Rfam family: Bacterial small subunit ribosomal RNA
Source: RNAcentral
UACGUAGGGUGCAAGCGUUGUCCGGAAUUAUUGGGCGUAAAGAGCUCGUAGGCGGUUUGUCGCGUCUGCUGUGAAAUUUCGGGGCUCAACCCCGAACUUGCAGUGGGUACGGGCAGACUAGAGUGUGGUAGGGGAGACUGGAAUUCCUGGUGUAGCGGUGAAAUGCGCAGAUAUCAGGAGGACCACCGAUGGCGAAGGCAGGUCUCUGGGCCACUACUGACGCUGAGAAGCGAAAGCAUGGGGAGCGAACAGG